Molecule: ribosomal RNA, 253 nt
Filed under: uncultured bacterium
Lineage: Bacteria
Description: partial 16S ribosomal RNA
Rfam family: Bacterial small subunit ribosomal RNA
Source: RNAcentral
UACGUAGGGACCAAGCUUUGUUCGGAUUUACUGGGCGUAAAGGGCGCGUAGGCGGCGUGGUAAGUCACUUGUGAAAUCUCUGAGCUUAACUCAGAACGGCCAAGUGAUACUGCUGUGCUAGAGUGCAGAAGGGGCAAUCGGAAUUCUUGGUGUAGCGGUGAAAUGCGUAGAUAUCAAGAGGAACACCUGAGGUGAAGACGGGUUGCUGGGCUGACACUGACGCUGAUGCGCGAAAGCCAGGGGAGCAAACGGG